GAUGAAGAACGUAGCGAACUGCGAUAAGUAAUGUGAAUUGCAGAAUUCAGUGAAUCAUCGAAUCUUUGAACGCACCUUGCGCCCUUUGGCUAUUCCGAAGGGCAUGCCUGUUUGAGUAUCAUGAACACCUCAACUCUCAUGGUUUGCCAUGAUGAGCUUGGACUCUGGGGGUCUUGCUGGCCUAUGGUCAGCUCCUCUCAAAUAAAUCAGCUUGCCAGUGUUUGGUGGCAUCACAGGUGUGAUAACUAUCUACGCUUGUGGUUUUCCAUCAGGUAACCUUCAGUGAUGGAGGUUCGCUGGAGCUCAUAAAUGUCCCUCCUCAGCGAGGACAGCUUUUUGAACGUUUGAUCUCAAAUCAGGUAGGACUACCCGCUGAACUUAAGCAUAUUAAUAAGCGGAGGA
This 402-nucleotide unclassified non-coding RNA is filed under the name soil metagenome. Its description in RNAcentral is "partial contains 5.8S ribosomal RNA, internal transcribed spacer 2, and large subunit ribosomal RNA". The stretch from base 1 to 121 matches the Rfam family "5.8S ribosomal RNA", at positions 35 to 154 of the family's 154-position model. The record is from RNAcentral.